GGAGGGUGUAGCUCAGUGGUAGAGUGCAUGCCUAGCAUGUAUGAGGUCCUGGGUUCAAUCCCCAGUACCUCCA
Molecule: transfer RNA, 73 nt
Filed under: Vicugna pacos (alpaca)
Lineage: Eukaryota; Metazoa; Chordata; Mammalia; Artiodactyla; Camelidae
Description: tRNA-Ala (AGC) (tRNA-Ala-AGC-147-1)
Rfam family: tRNA
About the family: Transfer RNA (tRNA) molecules are approximately 80 nucleotides in length. Their secondary structure includes four short double-helical elements and three loops (D, anti-codon, and T loops). Further hydrogen bonds mediate the characteristic L-shaped molecular structure. tRNAs have two regions of fundamental functional importance: the anti-codon, which is responsible for specific mRNA codon recognition, and the 3' end, to which the tRNAs corresponding amino acid is attached (by aminoacyl-tRNA synthetases). tRNAs cope with the degeneracy of the genetic code in two manners: having more than one tRNA (with a specific anti-codon) for a particular amino acid; and 'wobble' base-pairing, i.e. permitting non-standard base-pairing at the 3rd anti-codon position.
Source: RNAcentral